AUGCGCUCAGAGUGGCGAAUCCCAACGCGGAUGUACUCCUCUACCACAAUUGGCAUGGUCCUGUCGCGAAGCUGUGGGAUUGCAGGCGCCACCACCAUCGCGAGGUCGUCGUCCGCCACCACCUUAGCAAGGUCGUUGUCCGCCACCACCAUAGCAAGGUCGUCGUCCGCCAUCACCAUAGCAAGGUCGUCAUCCGCCACCACCAUAGCAGGGUCAACGUCAGCCACCAUCAUAGCAUGGUCGUCGUCAGCCAGAAUAGGCUGCUCCUCGUCAUCCCCGCUCUGCUCCUCGUCAUCCCCGCUGCUGCUCCCAUUGCCUGGCCAAAUGCAACAAAUUGUGAACAUGGUGUUGUCAUCGUGCAGGUAG
This 366-nucleotide ribosomal RNA is filed under the name Triticum aestivum (bread wheat). RNAcentral's name for it is "partial small subunit ribosomal RNA". The record is from RNAcentral. Lineage: Eukaryota; Viridiplantae; Streptophyta; Magnoliopsida; Poales; Poaceae.